CCGGACGUUAGUUUGUUAAAGGUUCCCAACAAACCAACAAUACAACCGUUAGUUUGUUAAAGGUUCCCAACAAACCAACAAGACAACCGUUAGUUUAUUAAAGGUUCCCAACAAACCAACAAGACAACCGUUAGUUUGUUAAAGGUUCCCGACAAACCAACAAGACAACCGUUAGUUUGUUAAAGGUUCCCGACAAACCAAAGACAACCGUUAGUUUGUUAAAGGUUCCCGACAAACCAAAGACAACCGUUAGUUUGUUAAAGGUUCCCAACAAACCAACAAGACAACCGUUAGUUUGUUAAAGGUUCCCAACAAACCAACAAGACAACCGUUAGUUUGUUAAAGGUUCCCAACAAACCAACAAUACAACCGUUAGUUUGUUAAAGGUUCCCGACAAACCAACAAGACAACCGUUAGUUUGUUAAAGGUUCCCAACAAACCAAAGACAACCGUUAGUUUGUUAAAGGUUCCCGACAAACCAACAAGACAACCGUUAGUUUGUUAAAGGUUCCCAACAAACCAAAGACAACCGUUAGUUUGUUAAAGGUUCCCGACAAACCAACAAUACAACCGUUAGUUUGUUAAAGGUUCCCGACAAACCAACAAGACAACCGUUAGUUUGUUAAAGGUUCCCAACAAACCAAAGACAACCGUUAGUUUGUUAAAGGUUCCCAACAAACCAACAAUACAACCGUUAGUUUGUUAAAGGUUCCCAACAAACCAACAAUACAACCGUUAGUUUGUUAAAGGUUCCCGACAAACCAAAGACAACCGUUAGUUUGUUAAAGGUUCCCAACAAACCAACAAGACAACCGUUAGUUUGUUAAAGGUUCCCGACAAACCAAAGACAACCGUUAGUUUGUUAAAGGUUCCCAACAAACCAACAAGACAACCGUUAGUUUGUUAAAGGUUCCCAACAAACCAACAAGACAACCGUUAGUUUGUUAAAGGUUCCCAACAAACCAACAAUACAACCGUUAGUUUGUUAAAGGUUCCCGACAAACCAACAAGACAACCGUUAGUUUGUUAAAGGUUCCCAACAAACCAACAAUACAACCGUUAGUUUGUUAAAGGUUCCCGACAAACCAACAAGACAACCGUUAGUUUGUUAAAGGUUCCCAACAAACCAACAAUACAACCGUUAGUUUGUUAAAGGUUCCCGACAAACCAAAGACAACCGUUAGUUUGUUAAAGGUUCCCAACAAACCAAAGACAACCGUUAGUUUGUUAAAGGUUCCCGACAAACCAACAAGACAACCGUUAGUUUGUUAAAGGUUCCCAACAAACCAAAGACAACCGUUAGUUUGUUAAAGGUUCCCAACAAACCAAAGACAACCGUUAGUUUGUUAAAGGUUCCCGACAAACCAAAGACAACCGUUAGUUUGUUAAAGAUUCCCGACAAACCAAAGACAACCGUUAGUUUGUUAAAGGUUCCCGACAAACCAACAAGACAACCGUUAGUUUGUUAAAGGUUCCCGACAAACUAACAGUA
This is a long non-coding RNA of Acanthochromis polyacanthus (spiny chromis), 1492 nucleotides long. RefSeq lists it as uncharacterized. Lineage: Eukaryota; Metazoa; Chordata; Actinopteri; Pomacentridae. The transcript is spliced from 5 exons. The record is from RefSeq and is a predicted model, not a curated record.